Molecule: transfer RNA, 72 nt
Filed under: Daphnia pulicaria
Lineage: Eukaryota; Metazoa; Arthropoda; Branchiopoda; Diplostraca; Daphniidae
Description: tRNA-Glu
Rfam family: tRNA
About the family: Transfer RNA (tRNA) molecules are approximately 80 nucleotides in length.
Source: RNAcentral
UCCCAUAUUGUCUAGUGGUUAGGAUACCUGGCUCUCACCCAGGAGGCUCGGGUUCAAUUCCUGGUAUGGGAA